GGGACGAUGCAGAAGCUCUCUCCCUUCCUCGGCACGGUCGGCAACGACGCAGACUCUGUUGCCUUCCUCCGCACCAUCCGGGAGGCAAACGCUUCCCUCAGAUCGAAGACCUGAACCUCUGUGCUUGAUGACAGUAUCACCGAGCUUCUUCCGUAAUAAGAGGUGUUGGAACAUCUUCCAUUUGCCUGAUUCCUAAGUAGAAGCAGUGUUUGCCUCAUCUAUGAUGAAACUAGAUGAUUUGUUUAAUGAUGUACUGGUUGCACAAGUUGAUGGCUUACGUAGUCUGUACUGAACUGCACUAGCUUGUUCUAAGAUGUCAAAUAUUUAUUGUUGCUAUAUGCUAAUUUGCAGGUACAAUCCAUAUGAAAAUAAUGCUAAUAUGUUGUGUUAACCUUGCUGAUGUAUUGGUUUUUUUAAUACAUGAACAUACUUUUUGAUCAGUUGUACUUGACGGCAUCGAUAGACCACUCCUCUAGAAGCAAAAUACUUUGGUUGAGAUGGUCGGUCGGAAUCUGGGAUAGGAUGAGUAUGAACAUGAGGAAUGGCCUUGAGCUUGGUGAGCACGUAGUGUCGUGGUCCGACCAGGCGAAGGAGGGGAGAAGAAAAGGAGAGGCACGAGGAGGGCUAGAAGAUGAGGACAUACAGUUGUGGCUAACUGAUGUGCCGUGCCGAGGCCGAGGCGGUGGCGCAUAGUGGGUGGGUGGUCCACAACCAAAUUCCAUUGGUAUGUGCCAUUAAAUUUGUUGUGACUAUCCAAAUCGUAAUCAAUCGUACUCAUCGACCCAUGGAUGCACUAUGGAGCAGUCAGUGCACAUA
This is a long non-coding RNA of Lolium rigidum, 816 nucleotides long. RefSeq lists it as uncharacterized. The record is from RefSeq and is a predicted model, not a curated record. Lineage: Eukaryota; Viridiplantae; Streptophyta; Magnoliopsida; Poales; Poaceae. The transcript has 3 exons.